GAUGAAGAACGCAGCGAAAUGCGAUAAGUAAUGUGAAUUGCAGAAUUCAGUGAAUCAUCGAAUCUUUGAACGCACAUUGCGCCCGCCAGUAUUCUGGCGGGCAUGCCUGUUCGAGCGUCAUUUCAACCAUCAAGCCCUGCUUGCGUUGGGGUCCUGCGGCUGCCCGCAGGCCCUGAAAACCAGUGGCGGGCUCGCUAGUCACACCGAGCGCAGUAAUACAUCUCGCUUUGGGCGUGCGGCGGGUUGUUGCCGUUAAACACCCCCUUUUUACCAAGGUUGACCUCGGAUCAGGUAGGAAUACCCGCUGAACUUAAGCAUAUCAAUAAGCGGAGGA
RNAcentral lists this unclassified non-coding RNA (334 nucleotides) under soil metagenome. Its description in RNAcentral is "partial contains 5.8S ribosomal RNA, internal transcribed spacer 2, and large subunit ribosomal RNA". The stretch from base 1 to 120 matches the Rfam family "5.8S ribosomal RNA", at positions 35 to 154 of the family's 154-position model. The record is from RNAcentral.